GCGGGCGUCGUCUAAUGGUAAGACACUAGCUUCCCAAGCUCGGAACACGGGUUCGAUUCCCGUCGCCCGCU
Transfer RNA from Andreprevotia lacus DSM 23236, 71 nucleotides. It matches the Rfam family "tRNA". From Rfam's summary of the family: Transfer RNA (tRNA) molecules are approximately 80 nucleotides in length. Their secondary structure includes four short double-helical elements and three loops (D, anti-codon, and T loops). Lineage: Bacteria; Pseudomonadati; Pseudomonadota; Betaproteobacteria; Neisseriales; Chitinibacteraceae. The record is from Rfam.